CCUACGGGUGGCAGCAGUGGGGGAUAUUGCACAAUGGGGGAAACCCUGAUGCAGCGACGCCGCGUGGGUGAAGAAGCGCCUCGGCGCGUAAAGCCCUGUCAGCAGGGAAGAAAAUGACGGUACCUGAAGAAGAAGCCCCGGCAAACCACGUGCCAGCAGCCGCGGUAAUACGUAGGGGGCAAGCGUUAUCCGGAUUGACGGGGUGUAAAGGGGGCGCAGACGGCGAUGCAAGCCAGGAGUGAAAGCCCGGGGCCCAACCCCGGGACUGCUCUUGGAACUGCGUGGCUAGAGUGCAGGAGGGGCAGGCGGAAUUCCUGGUGUAGCGGUGAAAUGCGUAGAUAUCAGGAGGAACACCGGUGGCGAAGGCGGCCUGCUGGACUGCAACUGACGUUGAGGCCCGAAAGCGUGGGGAGCAAACAGGAUUAGAUACCCUUGUAGUC
This 440-nucleotide ribosomal RNA is filed under the name uncultured bacterium. Its description in RNAcentral is "partial 16S ribosomal RNA". It matches the Rfam family "Bacterial small subunit ribosomal RNA", at positions 338 to 795 of the family's 1533-position model. The record is from RNAcentral.